This 713-nucleotide ribosomal RNA is filed under the name uncultured bacterium. RNAcentral describes it as "bacterial SSU rRNA". It matches the Rfam family "Bacterial small subunit ribosomal RNA", at positions 111 to 822 of the family's 1533-position model. The record is from RNAcentral.
UAACACGUAUCCAACCUGCCGUCUACUCUUGGACAGCCUUCUGAAAGGAAGAUUAAUACAAGAUGGCAUCAUGAGUCCGCAUGUUCACAUGACUAAAGGUAUUCCGGUAGACGAUGGGGAUGCGUUCCAUUAGAUAGUAGGCUGGGUAACGGCCCACCUAGUCUUCGAUGGAUAGGGGUUCUGAGAGGAAGGUCCCCCACAUUGGAACUGAGACACGGUCCAAACUCCUACGGGAGGCAGCAGUGAGGAAUAUUGGUCAAUGGGCGAGAGCCUGAACCAGCCAAGUAGCGUGAAGGAUGACUGCCCUAUGGGUUGUAAACUUCUUUUAUAAAGGAAUAAAGUCGGGUAUGGAUACCCGUUUGCAUGUACUUUAUGAAUAAGGAUCGGCUAACUCCGUGCCAGCAGCCGCGGUAAUACGGAGGAUCCGAGCGUUAUCCGGAUUUAUUGGGUUUAAAGGGAGCGUAGAUGGAUGUUUAAGUCAGUUGUGAAAGUUUGCGGCUCAACCGUAAAAUUGCAGUUGAUACUGGAUAUCUUGAGUGCAGUUGAGGCAGGCGGAAUUCGUGGUGUAGCGGUGAAAUGCUUAGAUAUCACGAAGAACUCCGAUUGCGAAGGCAGCCUGCUAAGCUGCAACUGACAUUGAGGCUCGAAAGUGUGGGUAUCAAACAGGAUUAGAUACCCUGGUAGUCCACACGGUAAACGAUGAAUACUCGCUG